GUCGGGAUGGCCGAGUGGUCUAAGGUGCCAGACUCAAAUCCCACUUCUGACAUUGUAUUUUUUUUAUCGGCGUGGGUUCAAAUCCCACUUCUGACA
Molecule: transfer RNA, 96 nt
Filed under: Salvia splendens (bonfire salvia)
Lineage: Eukaryota; Viridiplantae; Streptophyta; Magnoliopsida; Lamiales; Lamiaceae
Rfam family: tRNA
About the family: Transfer RNA (tRNA) molecules are approximately 80 nucleotides in length. Their secondary structure includes four short double-helical elements and three loops (D, anti-codon, and T loops).
Source: Rfam by way of RNAcentral